GCUGGGCAUGGUAGUGUAUGCCUGUAGUCCCAGCUACUGGGGAGGCUGAGGUGGGAGGAUCGCUUGAGCUUGGGAAGUUGAGGGUGCAGUGAGCUGUGAUCAUGCCGCUGUGCUCUAGCCCAGGUGACACAGUGAGAUCCUAUCUAAA
RNAcentral lists this non-coding RNA (148 nucleotides) under Nomascus leucogenys (northern white-cheeked gibbon). Lineage: Eukaryota; Metazoa; Chordata; Mammalia; Primates; Hylobatidae. The record is from Rfam by way of RNAcentral.